GCAAUGUGCCAGGUGCUGGGGAUACACGAGCGAACACACAGCAUCCCUGCCCUCCCGGGGCUCACAUUCUAAAGGGGGAGACAGACACAGUCAACAAGUGAACAGACAGUCAACAAGUGAACAGAAGGUGGAGUGACCCCGUUCCAAGUCCCAAAGUUAAGAGCGCCCACUUCAGAGCCAAGGCGGACCCCGGGCUGAAAUCUAGGCUUACCGACUGUGUGACCUUGGGCAGGUGACUUUGCCUCUGCGCGCCUCAGUCUCCUCGUCUGAACGAUGGGGUAACAAUAGCGCCUACCUAACAGGGCUGUCGCUGCCAUCACGUUUGUGGGGCCCAGCAGAGCGCGGUGGGCGCCGAGCAGCUGCUGCGGCUGACACCCCUGUCGCUGACUGGGGCGAGUCAACAGUAUCUCCUCCUCAUGUAUCAAGUCUACUGCUGUCCCACUGCCACCUCAUCUGAUUCUCCAGCUCUCCUGUGAUCAGGUGGGGAGUGAUGAGAGAGAGGGCACCCCAAGGCUGGGGUGGGUCUCCGCGCCCUUCGCCUGGGCAGGCAGCACUACAAGCCGCCAGCAGAGGGAGCUGCCUGGAAGCACGUGGCCAACCACCUGGCCCUUCGCAGGAAAGGUCUAGACUCCAGGGUCCUCAAUGUGGUAGCCACUGGCCACAGGUGCCAGUCCAGCCACUUGAAACAUGGCUAGUCCAAGCUGAGAUGUUGUGUGUGUGUAGAACAGACACUGGAUUACACUAAUUGGAUAUAAAAAAUGUUUUUAAAAUCUCAUUAAUGUCUGUAUAUUAACUGAUAAAAUGAUAAUUGUCAAAUAUGCUGGGUUAAAGAAAAUAUCUUAUUAAAAU
Molecule: long non-coding RNA, 849 nt
Organism: Canis lupus familiaris (dog)
Lineage: Eukaryota; Metazoa; Chordata; Mammalia; Carnivora; Canidae
Exons: 3
Source: RefSeq, a predicted model, not a curated record